CGUAGGGGCAAGCGUUGUCCGGAUUUAUUGGGCGUAAAGAGCGUGUAGGCGGCCACACAGGUCCGUUGUGAAAACUCGAGGCUCAACCUCGAGACGUCGAUGGAAACCGUGUGGCUAGAGUCCGGAAGAGGAGUGUGGAAUUCCUGGUGUAGCGGUGAAAUGCGCAGAUAUCAGGAAGAACACCUAUGGCGAAGGCAGCACUCUGGGACGGUACUGACGCUGAGACGCGAAAGCGUGGGGAGCGAACAGGAUUAGAUACCCUGGUAGUCCACGCCGUAAACGAUGGAUGCUAGGUGUGGGCGGUGUCGACUCCGUCCGUGCCGAAGCUAACGCAUUAAGCAUCCCGCCUGGGGAGUACGGCCGCAAGGCUA
Molecule: ribosomal RNA, 371 nt
Filed under: uncultured organism
Description: bacterial SSU rRNA
Rfam family: Bacterial small subunit ribosomal RNA
Source: RNAcentral